Molecule: ribosomal RNA, 318 nt
Filed under: uncultured bacterium
Lineage: Bacteria
Description: bacterial SSU rRNA
Rfam family: Bacterial small subunit ribosomal RNA
Source: RNAcentral
GAUGAACGCUAGCGGCAGGCUUAACACAUGCAAGUCGAGGGGCAGCAUGACACGGAGAUUCGUCGAAGUGUUGAUGGCGACCGGCGCAAGGGUGCGUAACGCGUGAGCAACUUGCCCGUUUCAGGGGGAUAACCGGUGGAAACGCCGACUAAUACCCCAUAGCAUCAACUUCAGGCAUCUUUAGUUGAUUAAAGAAUUUCGGAAACGGAUAGGCUCGCGUGACAUUAGCUAGAUGGCGGGGUAACGGCCCACCAUGGCGACGAUGUCUAGGGGUUCUGAGAGGAAGGUCCCCCACACUGGAACUGAGACACGGUCCAG